RNAcentral lists this long non-coding RNA (217 nucleotides) under Elaeis guineensis (African oil palm). RNAcentral's name for it is "long non-coding RNA (EGUI_LNC075230)". Lineage: Eukaryota; Viridiplantae; Streptophyta; Magnoliopsida; Arecales; Arecaceae. The record is from RNAcentral.
CUGAGGAUUAUGCCGGUUGUUAUCCGAAGAUUUUUGUCAUCUCUCCAACACAAAGCUAAUUUCAACUCUUUUCCAGGAUCUGCUUAUGUCUUCUCUACACAUGCCCAAACAAUGUCAAUCAGUGAUCCACCAUUUUACCCACAGUUAAUGUACCAGUGUACUUUCUUUAGUAUAUCCAUUUCUCAAUCAGUUGAUCUUGUUUUUAUUAAAUGCCCCA